AAGCGCCGGAUGCGCCGUUUUUUAUGGACGCAUAUCAAGUCAAGGUUCUAAACAUGACACGGUUGCUCUGGGGCGUCACUGAUUGUUAUCACAAUACUGUUUCACCGACCCGCAAAAAUAAUGGCGACCAAAACUAACGGCGAUGUAAUAUUCAUUUUAGAGCUACUUGUUUCAUAAGUUGUCCGAAAAUAGAAAUAAACAAAUUGCGAAAAAGUUAAUAUUCCCGGA
Cinara cedri is the source of this 228-nucleotide non-coding RNA. The record is from the annotation of a GenBank genome assembly. NCBI's taxonomy places the organism in Eukaryota, Metazoa, Arthropoda, Insecta, Hemiptera, Aphididae.